GAUGAACGCUGGCGGCGUGCCUAAUACAUGCAAGUCGAGCGAACAGACGAGGAGCUUGCUCCUUUGACGUUAGCGGCGGACGGGUGAGUAACACGUGGAUAACCUACCUAUAAGACUGGGAUAACUUCGGGAAACCGGAGCUAAUACCGGAUAACAUGUUGAACCGCAUGGUUCAACAGUGAAAGACGGUCUUGCUGUCACUUAUAGAUGGAUCCGCGCCGCAUUAGCUAGUUGGUAAGGUAACGGCUUACCAAGGCAACGAUGCGUAGCCGACCCGAGAGAGUGAUCGGCCACACUGGAACUGAGACACGGUCCAGACUCCUACGGGAGGCAGCAGUAGGGAAUCUUCCGCAAUGGGCGAAAGCCUGACGGAGCAACGCCGCGUGAGUGAAGAAGGUCUUCGGAUCGUAAAACUCUGUUAUUAGGGAAGAACAAAUGUGUAAGUAACUAUGCACGUCUUGACGGUACCUAAUCAGAAAGCCACGGCUAACUACGUG
Molecule: ribosomal RNA, 497 nt
Filed under: uncultured bacterium
Lineage: Bacteria
Description: partial 16S ribosomal RNA
Rfam family: Bacterial small subunit ribosomal RNA
Source: RNAcentral